Gopherus evgoodei (Goodes thornscrub tortoise) is the source of this 100-nucleotide long non-coding RNA. RefSeq lists it as uncharacterized. NCBI's taxonomy places the organism in Eukaryota, Metazoa, Chordata, Testudines, Testudinidae. The record is from RefSeq and is a predicted model, not a curated record. The transcript has 3 exons.
GGGUGUUAACAGGACACUUCACCUUAAAUGGUCACUUGAAAUGCAUUAACUAUUUAUGCUACACAAUCUUUUUGGUGCAAUAAAAGAUAUCACCGCAUCC